CAGUGAUAAACUGGAGGAAGGUGGGGAUGACGUCAAGUCAUCAUGGCCCUUACGAGUAGGGCUACACACGUGCUACAAUGGCAUAUACAAAGAGAAGCGACCUCGCGAGAGCAAGCGGACCUCAUAAAGUAUGUCGUAGUCCGGAUUGGAGUCUGCAACUCGACUCCAUGAAGUCGGAAUCGCUAGUAAUCGUAGAUCAGAAUGCUACGGUGAAUACGUUCCCGGGCCUUGUACACACCGCCCGUCACACCAUGGGAGUGGGUUGCAAAAGAAGUAGGUAGCUUAACCUUCGGGAGGGCGCUUACCACUUUGUGAUUCAUGACUGGGGUGAAGUCGUAACAAGGUAACCGUAGGGGAACCUGCGGUUGGAUCACCUCCUUACCU
Molecule: ribosomal RNA, 384 nt
Filed under: Klebsiella planticola
Lineage: Bacteria; Pseudomonadati; Pseudomonadota; Gammaproteobacteria; Enterobacterales; Enterobacteriaceae
Also listed under: 1 other name
Description: bacterial SSU rRNA
Rfam family: Bacterial small subunit ribosomal RNA
Source: RNAcentral